GUUUCGUGGCCGAGUGGAUAAAGCGGUGGUGUUUUAAGCGAAAGGUAGCGGGUUCGAGUCCCAGAAUGAACAU
RNAcentral lists this transfer RNA (73 nucleotides) under Schistosoma mansoni. The record is from RNAcentral. Lineage: Eukaryota; Metazoa; Platyhelminthes; Trematoda; Strigeidida; Schistosomatidae.